CCUACGGGUGGCAGCAGUGGGGGAUAUUGCACAAUGGGGGAAACCCUGAUGCAGCGACGCCGCGUGGGCGAAGAAGUAUUUCGGUAUGUAAAGCCCCAUCAGCAGGGAAGAAGAAAUGACGGUACCUGAGUCAGAAGCCCCGGCUAACUACGUGCCAGCAGCCGCGGUCAUACGUAGGGGGCAAGCGUUAUCCGGAUUUACUGGGUGUAAAGGGAGCGUAGACGGCAGUGCAAGUCUGGAGUGAAAGGCGGGGGCUCAACCCCCGGACUGCUCUGGAAACUGUACGGCUGGAGUGCAGUAGAGGUAAGUGGAAUUCGUAGUGUAGCGGUGAAAUGCGUAGAUAUUAGGAGGAACACCAGUGGCGAAGGCGGCUUACUGGACUGUAACUGACGUUGAGGCUCGAAAGCGUGGGGAGCAAACAGGAUUAGAUACCCCGGUAGUC
RNAcentral lists this ribosomal RNA (442 nucleotides) under uncultured bacterium. RNAcentral describes it as "partial 16S ribosomal RNA". It matches the Rfam family "Bacterial small subunit ribosomal RNA", at positions 338 to 795 of the family's 1533-position model. The record is from RNAcentral.